UCCUACGGGUGGCAGCAGUGGGGAAUAUUGGACAAUGGGCGAAAGCCUGAUCCAGCAAUGCCGCGUGAGUGAUGAAGGCCUUAGGGUUGUAAAGCUCUUUUACCAGGGAUGAUAAUGACAGUACCUGGAGAAUAAGCUCCGGCUAACUCCGUGCCAGCAGCCGCGGUAAUACGGAGGGAGCUAGCGUUGUUCGGAAUUACUGGGCGUAAAGCGCACGUAGGCGGCUACUCAAGUCAGAGGUGAAAGCCCGGGGCUCAAACCCGGAACUGCCUGUGAAACUAGGUAGCUAGAAUCUUGGAGAGGUCAGUGGAAUUCCGAGUGUAGAGGUGAAAUUCGUAGAUAUUCGGAAGAACACCAGUGGCGAAGGCGACUGACUGGACAAGUAUUGACGCUGAGGUGCGAAAGCGUGGGGAGCAAACAGGAUUAGAUACCCGUGUAGUCUU
This 443-nucleotide ribosomal RNA is filed under the name uncultured Sphingomonadaceae bacterium. RNAcentral's name for it is "bacterial SSU rRNA". It matches the Rfam family "Bacterial small subunit ribosomal RNA", at positions 337 to 797 of the family's 1533-position model. Lineage: Bacteria; Pseudomonadati; Pseudomonadota; Alphaproteobacteria; Sphingomonadales; Sphingomonadaceae. The record is from RNAcentral.